UGAGUAUACUGAGAAAAUAAGGUAGUAUCUUGUGAUGAGUCUAAAUUGUUGUACAUAGCAGGAAUACCAACUCUCUUUGACCUAAGCACUUCUUUUUGAUGUUCUGUCAAUAUCCUUGCUUUUGUUUCUGGGGGAAUGAACACAAAAUCAACAGAUUUCUCCUCUUCCAGAAGUACGUCACUUUUAGGCUUUGAAGCUGAAAACUCCAAUUUCAACUUUGCAGAUGUGACUUGCACGUUAUCAGACUUGUCUUUAACUUCAUUUUUUAGUUCACCUGUCUGGGCCAAUAUAGAGUCUCGUUUCUGACCCAAGUUUACUUCCAUCCCACUCAGCUUUGCAUCCCAUUGGGAGUUUUCUGCCUCAUCAGAGAAUGGGCCGCUUUGUUCGUCAGCUAUCUCAAUGCUUUCAAAACCAGGCAGCAAGAGGGGCAUUUUCUGUUUGGCUUGGCUUAACACAGGUUUUAAUUCUUCAGGGUAGGUCAACGAUGCAGCCUUAGCAAAUGUUGUGUUCCAGAAGUUGGCGCACUGCUUGCGCAUCUGUUUGCUCUUAUGCUGAAAUAUUACACAGAGCAAUGGAGAAAGCUGCUCCAGGAGCUCACUGUCAUAGCAGCCCA
RNAcentral lists this long non-coding RNA (613 nucleotides) under Gallus gallus (chicken). Lineage: Eukaryota; Metazoa; Chordata; Aves; Galliformes; Phasianidae. The record is from RNAcentral.